This 87-nucleotide transfer RNA is filed under the name Gulosibacter sp. 10. It matches the Rfam family "tRNA". Rfam says of the family: Transfer RNA (tRNA) molecules are approximately 80 nucleotides in length. The record is from Rfam by way of RNAcentral. Lineage: Bacteria; Bacillati; Actinomycetota; Actinomycetes; Micrococcales; Microbacteriaceae.
GGUGACGUGUCCGAGCGGCCGAAGGUGCGACACUCGAAAUGUCGUGUGGGGGCGACUCCACCGUGGGUUCAAAUCCCACCGUCACCG